Molecule: ribosomal RNA, 885 nt
Filed under: Salmonella enterica
Lineage: Bacteria; Pseudomonadati; Pseudomonadota; Gammaproteobacteria; Enterobacterales; Enterobacteriaceae
Also listed under: 1 other name
Description: partial 23S ribosomal RNA
Rfam family: Bacterial large subunit ribosomal RNA
Source: RNAcentral
AAUGGGUCAGCGACUUAUAUUCUGUAGCAAGGUUAACCGAAUAGGGGAGCCGGAGGGAAACCGAGUCUUAAUUGGGCGUUAAGUUGCAGGGUAUAGACCCGAAACCCGGUGAUCUAGCCAUGGGCAGGUUGAAGGUUGGGUAACACUAACUGGAGGACCGAACCGACUAAUGUUGAAAAAUUAGCGGAUGACCUGUGGCUGGGGGUGAAAGGCCAAUCAAACCGGGAGAUAGCUGGUUCUCCCCGAAAGCUAUUUAGGUAGCGCCUCGUGAAUUCAUCUCCGGGGGUAGAGCACUGUUUCGGCUAGGGGGCCAUCCCGGCUUACCAACCCGAUGCAAACUGCGAAUACCGGAGAAUGUUAUCACGGGAGACACACGGCGGGUGCUAACGUCCGUCGUGAAGAGGGAAACAACCCAGACCGCCAGCUAAGGUCCCAAAGUCAUGGUUAAGUGGGAAACGAUGUGGGAAGGCCCAGACAGCCAGGAUGUUGGCUUAGAAGCAGCCAUCAUUUAAAGAAAGCGUAAUAGCUCACUGGUCGAGUCGGCCUGCGCGGAAGAUGUAACGGGGCUAAACCAUGCACCGAAGCUGCGGCAGCGACGCUGAUGCGUUGUUGGGUAGGGGAGCGUUCUGUAAGCCUGCGAAGGUGGCCUGUGAGGGUUGCUGGAGGUAUCAGAAGUGCGAAUGCUGACAUAAGUAACGAUAAAGCGGGUGAAAAGCCCGCUCGCCGGAAGACCAAGGGUUCCUGUCCAACGUUAAUCGGGGCAGGGUGAGUCGACCCCUAAGGCGAGGCCGAAAGGCGUAGUCGAUGGGAAACGGGUUAAUAUUCCCGUACUUGGUGUUACUGCGAAGGGGGGACGGAGAAGGCUAUGUUGGCCGGGCGACGGUU